UCCUACGGGAGGCAGCAGUGGGGGAUAUUGCACAAUGGAGGGAACUCUGAUGCAGCGACGCCGCGUGGGUGAAGAAGUAUUUCGGUAUGUAAAGCCCUAUCAGCAGGGAAGAUAAUGACGGUACCUGAGUAAGAAGCCCCGGCUAACUACGUGCCAGCAGCCGCGGUAAUACGUAGGGGGCGAGCGUUAUCCGGAUUUACUGGGUGUAAAGGGAGCGCAGACGGCUGUGGAAGUCAGAUGUGGAAGCCCCGGGCAUAACCCGGGGAGUGCAUUUGAAACUCUAUAGCUAGAGUACUGGAGGGGUGAGCGGAAUUCCUGGUGUAGCGGUGAAAUGCGUAGAUAUCAGGAAGAACACCGGUGGCGAAGGCGGCUCACUGGACAGAGACUGACGUUGAGGCUCGAAAGCGUGGGGAGCAAACAGGAUUAGAUACCCUGGUAGUCC
This 442-nucleotide ribosomal RNA is filed under the name uncultured bacterium. RNAcentral describes it as "bacterial SSU rRNA". It matches the Rfam family "Bacterial small subunit ribosomal RNA", at positions 337 to 796 of the family's 1533-position model. The record is from RNAcentral.